Molecule: ribosomal RNA, 434 nt
Filed under: uncultured bacterium
Lineage: Bacteria
Description: partial 16S ribosomal RNA
Rfam family: Bacterial small subunit ribosomal RNA
Source: RNAcentral
AGCGAACGCUGGCGGCAGGCCUAACACAUGCAAGUCGAACGAACCUUCCGUGGUUAGUUGCGGUCGGGUGAGGCCCACGGGGGAAGGUGCCUUUAGGUACGGAAUACCUCAGUUAAACUUGUGCUAAUACCGAAUGUGCUCUUCUGGGGAAAGAUUAAUCGCCUUUAGAGCGGCCCGGGUCUGAUUAGCUAGUUGGUUGAGGUAAUGGCUCACCAAGGCGACGAUGAGUAGCUGGUCUGAGCCGAUGAUCAGCCACAUUGGGACUGAGACACGGCCCAAAAUCAUACGGGAGGGAGCAGAAGGGUGUCCUGCGCAAUGGGCGAAAGUCUGACACAGCCAUGCGGCGUAAAUGAUGAAGGUCGUAGGAUAGUAACAUUCUUUCAACGGGGACGUGAAUGACGGUACCCGGAAAAGAAGCCCCGGCUAACUUCGUG